Molecule: ribosomal RNA, 1021 nt
Filed under: Gryllus bimaculatus (two-spotted cricket)
Lineage: Eukaryota; Metazoa; Arthropoda; Insecta; Orthoptera; Gryllidae
Description: SSU rRNA
Rfam family: Eukaryotic small subunit ribosomal RNA
Source: RNAcentral
CAUAGUGAUAUGCUUGUCUUAAAGAUUAAGCCAUGCAUGCCUCAGUACAAACUGUUGUAGAGUGAAACCGCGAAUGGCUCAUUAAAUCGGUUAUGGUUCCUUGGACCUAAAAGUUACUUGGAUAACUGUGGUAAUUCUAGAGCUAAUACAUGCAUUUCAGUCGUGACCCGAAAGGGGAAGGACGCUUUUAUUAGAUCAAAGCCAAUCGGCCGGCUCGCCCGGUCGUUCCGUUUUGGUGACUCUGGAUAACCUUGGGCUGAUCGCACGGUCUCCGCACCGGCGACGUGUCCUUCAAAUGUCUGCCUUAUCAACUGACGAUGGUAGGUUUUGCGCCUACCAUGGUUGUAACGGGUGACGGGGAAUCAGGGUUCGAUUCCGGAGAGGGAGCCUGAGAAACGGCUACCACAUCCAAGGAAGGCAGCAGGCGCGCAAAUUACCCACUCCCGGCACGGGGAGGUAGUGACGAAAAAUAACGAUACGGGACUCAUCCGAGGCCCCGUAAUCGGAAUGAGAACAUUUUAAAUCUCUUAACGAUUACCCAUUAGAGGGCCAGUCUGGUGCCAGCAGCCGCGGUAAUUCCAGCUCUAAUAGCGUAUAUUAAAAUUGCUGCGGUUAAAAAGCUCGUAGUUUGACCUGUGCCCUGCGCUGCCGGUUCACCGCUCGUCGGUGUCCAACUGGCAUGCGUGCGGGGCGUCCUGCCGGUGGGCGCGAGCCGACUGCGGCGGCAGCGUUCUCGGUCCUGGCUCCGGCGGUGAGCAAUCGCUGUCGGGCCGGGUUCUCGGGGGCGUUGAUGCCCCGUGGAAGGCGGACCCCGAUCUCACCCGCCGCGGUGCUCUUAACUGAGUGUCGUGCGGGCCGGCACGUUUACUUUGAACAAAUUAACGUGCUUAACGCAGGCCUUUGUCUGCCCGAAUACAUCUUGCAUGGAAUAAUGGAAUAGGACCAUCGGUUCUAUUUUGUUGGUUUUCGGAAGUCGAGGUAAUGAUUAAUGGGGAUUGCCGGGGGCAUCCGUAUUGCGACG